GCCUCAACUCAAUGGAUAUCCAAAAGAAGAAAUAGGAUCCUAUUGGAUAUGGCCCAGUCCAUGAAAAGCUUCAUUGAUUUACUCUUAUUUCUUUGGGGAUAUGCCUUACCGUGAUGCAUAUUUUAAAUAGGUUCCUUCUAAGUUUGUUCCUACCGCACUAUACGAGAUAUGGCAUGGUAAAAAAUUGAGUCUGAGUUAUCUUAAAGCUUAAGGAUGCCCAGCCAAUAUUAAAAAAUAAAAAGCUGAUAAAUUAGAGGAUAGAUCAGUUGUAGCUCGGUUUAUAGG
RNAcentral lists this long non-coding RNA (285 nucleotides) under Elaeis guineensis (African oil palm). RNAcentral describes it as "long non-coding RNA (EGUI_LNC073307)". Lineage: Eukaryota; Viridiplantae; Streptophyta; Magnoliopsida; Arecales; Arecaceae. The record is from RNAcentral.